Molecule: ribosomal RNA, 232 nt
Filed under: uncultured bacterium
Lineage: Bacteria
Description: partial 16S ribosomal RNA
Rfam family: Bacterial small subunit ribosomal RNA
Source: RNAcentral
CACGUAGGGCGCAAGCGUUGUCCGGAAUUAUUGGGCGUAAAGAGCUCGUAGGCGGUUCGUCGCGUCGGCUGUGAAAACCUGAGGCUCAACCUCAGGCCUGCAGUCGAUACGGGCGGACUUGAGUACUGCAGGGGAGACUGGAAUUCCUGGUGUAGCGGUGAAAUGCGCAGAUAUCAGGAGGAACACCGGUGGCGAAGGCGGGUCUCUGGGCAGUAACUGACGCUGGAGGAGC